Molecule: long non-coding RNA, 1800 nt
Filed under: Betta splendens (Siamese fighting fish)
Lineage: Eukaryota; Metazoa; Chordata; Actinopteri; Anabantiformes; Osphronemidae
Description: lncRNA (ENSBSLG00000024238.1)
Source: RNAcentral
AAUACCAGACAGGAAAUAUUUUUAAUGACAAAGUUGUAACAGGCAGUGACAGGGGCAGGUGUCACUUUUAGGUAACCCGAUCUAUGGAAGAGUCAGAGGCAAGUGAUGCAAAGCAAUAGAGAACCUCCAUACAGAGGUAGAGUUCUUAUUACUACGGUCAUCUCUAAAGGUGUGUGUGAAGGAUAAUGGGAUAUGUAGUCUCUGCAGGUGAGGGAGCAGAGUACACGGACUUAGUGAGGCAAUAAAAGAAAGACCUUCGUUGAUAACGAUCUGAACGAACGAAGUGUGUGUCAGUUGAGCAGUAGUGAGGAAAGAUGGAGACAGAGGUACCAACAUCCUAAUAAUAACAGCAUACUUCCUGAUCAUGGACAAACUGAGCUCCAAAUUAAAAAACAUGAUUCGAGUGAGGAAAUAUGGAAUCAAAUUUACACAAGACAAGACCGUAUUUUGCGGGUAGAUGGAGAGCACUGUGUGGUACGAAACGAGGUAAAGAGCUGUGGAGGUCUGCAUGGCGCUCAUGGCAGAAAUACAAGAAAUACAAUUAAAAUAUACGCAGUGUCCAUGAAGGCAGCACGGAUGUUCGUUGCGUUUCGGUGCUGAGGUGUUUCAUUUGAGCGAGCCGCAGCCGCUGGGCUCGCGCAGGCGCUGAGCUCACCGAGAGAGUAACUGUGGCACUCGUAUACAAAGCCACAGCUCGACCUGACACAUUUACCUGCAUGGGAGACGUCACGACUUCAAAAAUGAGCAGUUUGGCCGCGUCCAAGGAAACAUACGCGGAUAGAACCAGCUCUGAACCUGUGGAGGACACAGACACCACCAGCUUUGUGACAGAGUUUUCCUUGGAGGCCAAUUAUCCUGUGCAAGUGACAGAUCCUCAUGCAGAUGCUGUGACCCUCCACCUGAGCUCCAUGCCUUCAGAAUUCCUGAGCCCCUCCUCAAACAGAAUCAAACAGGUCAGUUUAGCCACAAAAAUAUUUAAAAGAAUAUACAGUAGUUACAUUAGGGUCUGUGGUCGGGGAGUAGAUUUGUAACUCUUUGUAAGUUUGUGCUUUCACUAGAGCUCCAAUCCAAUAGAGUGAAAACAGAACAAUUCCAGAACUCACAUAAGUUGUUAAGUUGACAUUCCAUUUUGAAUUACUUUCUGUAAGUUGAGUCAUGUCAUCUGAACUUAUAUAAAUUCUCAAUAUAUCAUCUAUAAAACUACAUCUUUUUUUUUUAAGAAGACAGUUGACAUGACUCAAUUUCAGACAGCCUCACCCUGAUGACUGACAAUUCAGAAACAUUUUAAAUGACUGUUGAGAACCAGCCAGCUUCACAGGGGCCUUGUUGAUUCAUAUUUAUAAGCUGCUUCACAAAUUAUCAUCCAAAGGACGAACGCACGCAGGUAAAUGCUUUUCGGUCAAGCAGCAGCUUUACCGUCAACUUCACUGUAAACACUGUAUCAAUCACACAUUUAAUUUAUAGUGACAGCGGAUUUGACCAAGGAAAUGUGCUCAAUAGCUAGCACGCUGGUUUGAUCCCCUUCUAUGUUACUAGGUGUGACACUCCACGAUUUCCUUUUCACCUAUCCCCCACAAGAAAACAGUGGGGGAUAGGUAAAAAGGAAAUUUCCCCACUCUGGGACUAAUUAAGGUUUCUAAAUUUAAAUAUUAUAUGACACAAUAUGUGACAUACUGUAUGACACUUGAUAAAUUUUUGCCACUGUCACAUGCAUGAAAACCUAUUUCCCAAAAUUACUUUACAUGGUGGCUCCUUAUAAAUUAAAAUAAAUAAUAUACACUCUAAUUUAUUUACUUUGAA